CAGUAGCCGCGGGAAUACGAAGGUGGCUAGCGUUGUUCGGAUUUACUGGGCGUAAAGCGCACGUAGGCGGAUCGAUCAGUCAGGGGUGAAAUCCCCGGGCUCAACCUGGGAAUGGCAGUGGAUACUGGCUCGCUAGAGUGUGUCAGAGGAUGGUGGAAUUCCCGGUGUAGCGGUGAAAUGCGUAGAGAUCGGGAGGAACAUCAGUGGCGAAGGCGGCCAUCUGGGACAACACUGACGCUGAGGCACGAAAGCGUGGGGAGCAAACAGGAUUAGAUACCCCAGUAGUCCCUGUCUCUUAUAC
RNAcentral lists this ribosomal RNA (301 nucleotides) under uncultured bacterium. Its description in RNAcentral is "partial 16S ribosomal RNA". It matches the Rfam family "Bacterial small subunit ribosomal RNA", at positions 509 to 807 of the family's 1533-position model. The record is from RNAcentral.